This 570-nucleotide long non-coding RNA is filed under the name Vigna radiata. RNAcentral describes it as "long non-coding RNA (VRAD_LNC001789)". The record is from RNAcentral. Lineage: Eukaryota; Viridiplantae; Streptophyta; Magnoliopsida; Fabales; Fabaceae.
UUCAUGUUUGCUGCAGGAGAAUGGUUUAAAGUUUAGGGGAGUUUGUUUUGUAAAGGUGUAUUGAGAAAAAUAGAAAAAUAGAAAACAAAUGAGGAAAAAGAAGAAAGAAAAAGAAGAAAGAAAAAGAUAAAGAAAAAGAAUUGAAUGAAAGAAAGUUGGGAUANAAGUCAGAAAGUGGUUGUAACUUAAGUGAAGCAAAAGAGAAACUUAUGUGCAUGAUUGGAAUUGUUUAAUCUCUUAGCUCAAGGUGCUUUGUUAUCCAUAAAAACCAUGUUUCUUUUUAUUCCAGCCUCAAUACAAGCCAAUGAAAGUCCUUGUGAUGUUGACUUGCUUGUAAAUGUGUUUAAUUUGAUUGAAACGAAUGGCAAAGUUGAUUUGUGCGAUAUUGCAAUAGUUGAGUGAUAGAUACACAUCUUCAUACACCAGUGCAUAAGAGUGAUACACUACCUUGGGUGAGGAUUGGUUCUACAUCAUUCAGUAAAGCAUUCUGCCAUGAUUGUUGAUCUCUUUUAAAAUGUGGCAUUUGACUGAUUGAAUGUAUUGUGAGCACCACAGUGGAAGGCUAAUCUG